AACGAACGCUGGCGGCAUGCCUAACACAUGCAAGUCGAACGAGAUCUUCGGGUCUAGUGGCGCACGGGUGCGUAACGCGUGGGAAUCUGCCCUUUGGUUCGGAAUAACAGUUGGAAACGACUGCUAAUACCGGAUGAUGACGAAAGUCCAAAGAUUUAUCGCCAGAGGAUGAGCCCGCGUAGGAUUAGCUAGUUGGUGUGGUAAAGGCGCACCAAGGCGACGAUCCUUAGCUGGUCUGAGAGGAUGAUCAGCCACACUGGGACUGAGACACGGCCCAGACUCCUACGGGAGGCAGCAGUGGGGAACAUUGGACAAUGGGCGAAAGCCUGAUCCAGCAAUGCCGCGUGAGUGAUGAAGGCCUUAGGGUUGUAAAGCUCUUUUACCCGGGAUGAUAAUGACAGUACCGGGAGAAUAAGCUCCGGCUAACUCCGUGCCAGCCGCCGCGAUAA
This 449-nucleotide ribosomal RNA is filed under the name uncultured bacterium. RNAcentral describes it as "partial 16S ribosomal RNA". It matches the Rfam family "Bacterial small subunit ribosomal RNA", at positions 29 to 523 of the family's 1533-position model. The record is from RNAcentral.